Molecule: ribosomal RNA, 506 nt
Filed under: Trichoderma harzianum
Lineage: Eukaryota; Fungi; Ascomycota; Sordariomycetes; Hypocreales; Hypocreaceae
Description: eukaryotic LSU rRNA
Rfam family: 5.8S ribosomal RNA (bases 124-277)
Source: RNAcentral
CCUACUGUUGCUUCGGCGGGAUUGCCCCGGGCGCCUCGUGUGCCCCGGAUCAGGCGCCCGCCUAGGAAACUUAAUUCUUGUUUUAUUUUGGAAUCUUCUGAGUAGUUUUUACAAAUAAAUAAAAACUUUCAACAACGGAUCUCUUGGUUCUGGCAUCGAUGAAGAACGCAGCGAAAUGCGAUAAGUAAUGUGAAUUGCAGAAUUCAGUGAAUCAUCGAAUCUUUGAACGCACAUUGCGCCCGCCAGUAUUCUGGCGGGCAUGCCUGUCUGAGCGUCAUUUCAACCCUCAUGCCCCUAGGGCGUGGUGUUGGGGAUCGGCCAAAGCCCGCGAGGGACGGCCGGCCCCUAAAUCUAGUGGCGGACCCGUCGUGGCCUCCUCUGCGAAGUAGUGAUAUUCCGCAUCGGAGAGCGACGAGCCCCUGCCGUUAAACCCCCAACUUUCCAAGGUUGACCUCAGAUCAGGUAGGAAUACCCGCUGAACUUAAGCAUAUCAAUAAUCGGAGGAA